RNAcentral lists this ribosomal RNA (458 nucleotides) under uncultured bacterium. RNAcentral describes it as "partial 16S ribosomal RNA". It matches the Rfam family "Bacterial small subunit ribosomal RNA", at positions 338 to 794 of the family's 1533-position model. The record is from RNAcentral.
CCUACGGGAGGCAGCAGUGAGGAAUAUUGGUCAAUGGGCGGGAGCCUGAACCAGCCAAGCCGCGUGAGGGAAGAAGGUACAGCGUAUCGUAAACCUCUUUUGUCAGGGAACAAAGGCUGGGACUAGUCCCCGGAUGAGGUUACCUGAAGAGAAAGCAUCGGCUAACUCCGUGCCAGCAGCCGCGGUAAUACGGGGGAUGCGAGCGUUAUCCGGAUUGAGUGGGUUUAAAGGGUGCGCGGGCGGCCUGUUAUGUCAGCGGUAAAAGCCCGGGGCUAAACCCCGGCGAGCCGUUGAAACUGGCGGGCUGGGGUUGGAAGGAGGUACGAGGAAUGCGCGGUGUAGCGGGGAAUUGCUUAGAUAUCGGGGAGAAACCCGAUUGCGAAGGCAGCGUACCGGCUCCAACCUGAGGCUGAGGCACGAAAGCGUGGGUAUCGAACAGGAUUAGAUACCCUAGUAGU